Populus trichocarpa (black cottonwood) is the source of this 107-nucleotide non-coding RNA. The record is from Rfam. NCBI's taxonomy places the organism in Eukaryota, Viridiplantae, Streptophyta, Magnoliopsida, Malpighiales, Salicaceae.
AUUUGAUGAUGAGGGCAUUGAAUGCACAGUUGCUCAAAACUUUCCCAAUACUCAGAAAGUGUCUCUCCAUGUGAUUGUCGAAUCCCACAUAUUUCUUUCCUUAUGUU